This 245-nucleotide ribosomal RNA is filed under the name Stromboceros koebelei. RNAcentral describes it as "partial 16S ribosomal RNA". Lineage: Eukaryota; Metazoa; Arthropoda; Insecta; Hymenoptera; Tenthredinidae. The record is from RNAcentral.
CUGUCUCUUUUUAAUUAUUAAUUUAAUUUAAUUUUUAAGUUAAAAAGCUUAAAUGUUUUUAAAGGACGAGAAGACCCUAUAGAGUUUUAUAAAUCAUAAUAAUAAUUAUUUUAAAUUAUUAAUUUUUAUAAUGAUUUAUUUUAUUGGGGUGAUAAAAAAAUUAGAAAAACUUUUUUAUUAUAAUACAUUGAUUAAUGAAAUUUUGAUCUUAAAUUUUAGAUUAUUAGAAUAAAUUACCUUAGGGA